This 279-nucleotide unclassified non-coding RNA is filed under the name plant metagenome. Its description in RNAcentral is "partial contains small subunit ribosomal RNA, internal transcribed spacer 1, and 5.8S ribosomal RNA". The record is from RNAcentral.
UUUCCGUAGGUGAACCUGCGGAAGGAUCAUUAUCGAAUAAACGAGGUGGGAGCGCUCUCCCUGGCCUUACACCCGGUGCAUAGCCGAAACACCCCACAGACCCCCAUCUCAGACUCAUGUGUACACCAGCGCCGUUCCCUCUUCGUCGUUUGGGCAGGCGGCCGUACGAAUUCACAAAAACUUUUUUUGCAGUGUACAUUGCCUUUUCUGUUUUUGACAACACGUAAACAUUACAACAUUGAACAACGGAGCUCUUGCAUCGCGCAUCGACGAAGAACA